RNAcentral lists this ribosomal RNA (297 nucleotides) under uncultured bacterium. RNAcentral describes it as "partial 16S ribosomal RNA". It matches the Rfam family "Bacterial small subunit ribosomal RNA", at positions 157 to 488 of the family's 1533-position model. The record is from RNAcentral.
CUUGUGCUAAUACCGGAUAAGUCUUUACGGAGAAAGCUUUAUGCACCAUUGGAUGAGCCCGCACUUGAUUAGUUUGUUGGUAGGGUAAUGGCCUACCAAGACUAUGAUCAAUAGCUGAUUUGAGAGGAUGAUCAGCCACAUUGGACUGAGACACGGCCCAAACUACUACGGGAGGCAGCAGUGGGGAAUCUUGCACAAUGGAGGAAACUCUGAUGCAACGAUGCCGCGUGAGUGAAGAAGGCCUUUGGGUUGUAAAGCUCUUUCGUCGGGGAAGAAAAUGACUGUACCCAAAUAAGA